RNAcentral lists this ribosomal RNA (250 nucleotides) under uncultured archaeon. Its description in RNAcentral is "partial 16S ribosomal RNA". It matches the Rfam family "Archaeal small subunit ribosomal RNA", at positions 748 to 991 of the family's 1478-position model. The record is from RNAcentral.
UAGGCGUAAAUGAUGCGAGUUAAGUGUGGGGGCAUCUACGAGAUGGCCCUGUGCUGUAGGGUAGCCGUUAAACUCGCUGCCUGGGGGAGUACGGUCGCAAGGCUGAAACUUAAAGGAAUUGGCGGGGGGAGCACCACAAGAGGUGGAGGCUGCGGGUUCAAUUGGACUCAACGCCGGAAACUACAUCGGGAGGCGACAGCAGUAUGAUUGCCAGGUUGGAUGACCUUGCUUGACAAGACUGAGAGGAGGU